CCGGCACGGGUGAGUAACACGUAUCCAACCUGCCGUCUACUCUUGGCCAGCUCUGAAAGGAAGAUUAAUCCAGGAUGGCAUCAUGAGUUCACAUGUCCGCAUGAUUAAAGGUAUUUUCCGGUAGACGAUGGGGAUGCGUUCCAUUAGAUAGUAGGCGGGGUAACGGCCCACCUAGUCAACGAUGGAUAGGGGUUCUGAGAGGAAGGUCCCCCACAUUGGAACUGAGACACGGUCCAA
This 237-nucleotide ribosomal RNA is filed under the name uncultured bacterium. RNAcentral describes it as "partial 16S ribosomal RNA". It matches the Rfam family "Bacterial small subunit ribosomal RNA", at positions 100 to 334 of the family's 1533-position model. The record is from RNAcentral.